This 415-nucleotide ribosomal RNA is filed under the name uncultured crenarchaeote. RNAcentral describes it as "partial 16S ribosomal RNA". It matches the Rfam family "Archaeal small subunit ribosomal RNA", at positions 330 to 747 of the family's 1478-position model. Lineage: Archaea; Thermoproteati; Thermoproteota. The record is from RNAcentral.
GUGCAGCAGUCGCGAAAACUCCGCAAUACACGAAAGCGUGACGGGACUAUCCCGAGUGCCGUCCGCUGAGGAUGGCUUUUCCCCAGUGUAGACAGCUGGGGGAAUAAGGAGAGGGCAAGUCUGGUGUCAGCCGCCGCGGUAAUACCAGCUCUUCGAGUGGUAGGGAUGUUUAUUGGGCCUGAAGCAUCCGUAGCCGGCUGGGCAAGUUCUCUGUUAAAUCCAGCGAUUCAAUCGUUGGAUUGCGGGGAAUACUGUUCGGCUUGGGGGCGAGAGAGGCCGUCGGUAUUCUCGGGGUAGGGGUGAAAUCCUAUAAUCCCGAGAGGAACACCAGUGGCGAAGGCUGUCGGCUAGAACACGCCCGACGGUGAGGGAUGAAAGCUGGGGGAGCGAACCGGAUUAGAUACCCGGGUAGUCC